CUGGGCAGAGACCAGCUCCCUUGAUGAUCACUGAUGCGAUGGAGUGACUGAGGCCUAGAAAAAGUACGACUUUUUCACAGUUCCACAUCAAGUCUUUGGACCUCUGGGUCUAACUCCUCUGAUAAGGCCAUGAAGGUCAAGAAUAAGGAGUCCUGAAGACACACAGAUGGCCAACAGACAUGGGAGAAGAUGCUCAACAUCACUAACCUUCAGGGAAAUGCAAAUCAAAACCACAGUGAGAUACAGCCUCACACCUGUCACAAUGACUGUUCUCAAGAAGACCAAAAAUAGCAAGUGCUGGGUAAGCUAUGAAGAAAAAGGAACCUCGU
This is a long non-coding RNA of Dama dama (fallow deer), 329 nucleotides long. RefSeq lists it as uncharacterized. The record is from RefSeq and is a predicted model, not a curated record. The transcript has 3 exons. Lineage: Eukaryota; Metazoa; Chordata; Mammalia; Artiodactyla; Cervidae.